GAAUGACACAAUCCUGUGUUAGGUUCUCCCUUUGCCAACAUUUAGACCAGAAGGCCCGGCUGUCCUGCCCUCUCCCACCAUGAGUGUCAGCCUCCUGUGCUGGGGGGCCUUUUCUUUCCUGUUUGCAGGUGCAGCACAUGCUGGUGUCACUCAGAACCCCACAUUCCAGAUCCUGAAGAAAGGACAGAAACUGAUGAUAAUUUGUGCCCAGGACAUGAACCACAACAACAUGUACUGGUACCGCCAGGACCCAGAAAUGGGCCUGAAGCUGAUUCAUUAUUCAGUGGGCAAAGACAUCACUGAUAAAGGAGAAGUCCCUGAUGGGUAUAAUGCAUCUAGACCAAGCACAGAGAACUUCCUGCUCACUGUGGAGUCAGCUGCCCCCUCGCAAACAUCUGUGUACUUCUGUGCCAGCAGUGAUCCACAGCUGUAA
This is a non-coding RNA of Ochotona princeps (American pika), 433 nucleotides long. The record is from the annotation of a RefSeq genome assembly. NCBI's taxonomy places the organism in Eukaryota, Metazoa, Chordata, Mammalia, Lagomorpha, Ochotonidae.